Molecule: ribosomal RNA, 482 nt
Filed under: Melarhaphe neritoides
Lineage: Eukaryota; Metazoa; Mollusca; Gastropoda; Littorinimorpha; Littorinidae
Description: partial 16S ribosomal RNA
Rfam family: Bacterial large subunit ribosomal RNA
Source: RNAcentral
CGCUCCUUGAUUUUAAUUAAUAAGGAGUCGGACCUGCCCAGUGAUAAGUAUUUAACGGCCGCGGUACUCUGACCGUGCAAAGGUAGCAUAAUCAUUUGCCCUAUAAUUGAGGGCUAGUAUGAAUGGUUUGACAAGAACAAUACUGUCUCUUUCAAAAUUUCUAGAAUUUAUUCUUUAGGUGAAGAAACCUAAAUAAAAUUAAAAGACAAGAAGACCCUAUCGAGCUUAAACUCUUUUUAUAAAAUAAAAAAAAUUAAUAAUAUUUUUUGUUAUAAAAAAUUUUGGUUGGGGCGACUAAGGAACAAAAAAAGCUUCUUUAUUUAAUAAAGACAAAUACGUAUUGAUCCAUAAAAUCUUGAUUAAAAGAAUUAGUUACCGUAGGGAUAACAGCAUAAUCUUUUUUAAGAGUUCUUAUCGAAAAAAAGGUUUGUGACCUCGAUGUUGGACUAAAAUUUCCUAAUAGAUGCAGACGUCUUUAAGGG